GCUUUCGUGGUAGCAUAUUCGGCUUGUAUUCGAAAGAUCCAGGUUCAAGUCCCGGCGAGGGCA
RNAcentral lists this transfer RNA (63 nucleotides) under Stegodyphus mimosarum. It matches the Rfam family "tRNA". From Rfam's summary of the family: Transfer RNA (tRNA) molecules are approximately 80 nucleotides in length. Lineage: Eukaryota; Metazoa; Arthropoda; Arachnida; Araneae; Eresidae. The record is from Rfam by way of RNAcentral.